Molecule: ribosomal RNA, 468 nt
Filed under: uncultured bacterium
Lineage: Bacteria
Description: partial 16S ribosomal RNA
Rfam family: Bacterial small subunit ribosomal RNA
Source: RNAcentral
GGCGAACGCUGGCGGCGUGCUUAACACAUGCAAGUCGAACGGAAAGGCCCUGCUUUUGUGGGGUGCUCGAGUGGCGAACGGGUGAGUAACACGUGAGUAACCUGCCCUUGACUUUGGGAUAACUUCAGGAAACUGGGGCUAAUACCGGAUAGGAGCUCCUGCUGCAUGGUGGGGGUUGGAAAGUUUCGGCGGUUGGGGAUGGACUCGCGGCUUAUCAGCUUGUUGGUGGGGUAGUGGCUUACCAAGGCUUUGACGGGUAGCCGGCCUGAGAGGGUGACCGGCCACAUUGGGACUGAGAUACGGCCCAGACUCCUACGGGAGGCAGCAGUGGGGAAUAUUGCACAAUUGGCGGAAGCCUGAUGCAGCAACGCCGCGUGCGGGAUGACGGCCUUCGGGUUGUAAACCGCUUUCGCCUGUGACGAAGCGUGAGUGACGGUAAUGGGUAAAGAAGCACCGGCUAACUACGUG